GAUGAACGCUAGCGGCAGGCUUAACACAUGCAAGUCGAGGGGUAGAGGAAGCUUGCUUCCUUGAGACCGGCGCACGGUGCGUAACGCGUAUGCAAUCUACCUUAUACAGGGGGAUAGCCCAGAGAAAUUUGGAUUAAUACCCCAUAGUAUAAUUGAAUGGCAUCAUUUAAUUAUUAAAGUUCCAACGGUAUAAGAUGAGCAUGCGUCCCAUUAGCUAGUUGGUGUGGUAACGGCACACCAAGGCGACGAUGGGUAGGGUCCUGAGAGGGAGAUCCCCCACACUGGUACUGAGACACGGACCAGACUCCUACGGGAGGCAGCAGUGAGGAAUAUUGGUCAAUGGGCGCAAGCCUGAACCAGCCAUGCCGCGUGCAGGAUGACGGUCUAUGGAUUGUAAACUGCUUUUGACAGGAAGAAACACUCCCUCGUGAGGGAGCUUGACGGUACUGUAAGAAUAAGGAUCGGCUAACUCCGUGCCAGCAGCCGCGGUAAU
Molecule: ribosomal RNA, 493 nt
Filed under: uncultured bacterium
Lineage: Bacteria
Description: bacterial SSU rRNA
Rfam family: Bacterial small subunit ribosomal RNA
Source: RNAcentral